This 74-nucleotide transfer RNA is filed under the name Mediterraneibacter gnavus. RNAcentral describes it as "[Ruminococcus] gnavus tRNA-Met". It matches the Rfam family "tRNA". From Rfam's summary of the family: Transfer RNA (tRNA) molecules are approximately 80 nucleotides in length. The record is from RNAcentral. Lineage: Bacteria; Bacillati; Bacillota; Clostridia; Lachnospirales; Lachnospiraceae.
GUGCCGUUAGCUCAGUUGGUCAGAGCACCCGGCUCAUAACCGGACGGGCGUGGGUUCGAGUCCCACACGGCGCA